GCCUGGGUGGCUCAGUCGGUUGAGCUUCUGACUUUGGCUCAGGUCAUGAUCUCACAUUCGUGGGUUCAAGCCCCACACCAGGCU
RNAcentral lists this transfer RNA (84 nucleotides) under Felis catus (domestic cat). It matches the Rfam family "tRNA". From Rfam's summary of the family: Transfer RNA (tRNA) molecules are approximately 80 nucleotides in length. Lineage: Eukaryota; Metazoa; Chordata; Mammalia; Carnivora; Felidae. RNAcentral also lists the same sequence under 2 other names. The record is from Rfam by way of RNAcentral.